AACUUUGAGCGGUGGAUCACCCGGCUCAUGCUUCGUUGAAGAGUGCAGACAACUGUGUGAAUUAAUGUGAACUGAAUACUGCUUUGAACAUCGACAUCUUGAACGCAUAUCCUGUGGCCACGUCUGUCCGAGGGUCA
This 137-nucleotide ribosomal RNA is filed under the name Trichobilharzia regenti. RNAcentral's name for it is "5.8S ribosomal RNA". It matches the Rfam family "5.8S ribosomal RNA". Rfam says of the family: 5.8S ribosomal RNA (5.8S rRNA) is a component of the large subunit of the eukaryotic ribosome. It is transcribed by RNA polymerase I as part of the 45S precursor that also contains 18S and 28S rRNA. Functionally, it is thought that 5.8S rRNA may be involved in ribosome translocation. The record is from Rfam by way of RNAcentral. Lineage: Eukaryota; Metazoa; Platyhelminthes; Trematoda; Strigeidida; Schistosomatidae.